GCAGACAAGUUAAUUGACUAAAAGGAGGCAAGAAGUUUUCACGGAGUGAAAAGAACAGAGUUAAAAGAAAGGAGUCAAAGAAAUGAAGCUACGCUCCUACCAAAGAAUAAAAGAACACUCCCGUAAAAA
This is a long non-coding RNA of Strongylocentrotus purpuratus (purple sea urchin), 129 nucleotides long. RefSeq lists it as uncharacterized. The transcript is spliced from 2 exons. The record is from RefSeq and is a predicted model, not a curated record. NCBI's taxonomy places the organism in Eukaryota, Metazoa, Echinodermata, Echinoidea, Camarodonta, Strongylocentrotidae.